Molecule: non-coding RNA, 382 nt
Organism: Megalopta genalis
Lineage: Eukaryota; Metazoa; Arthropoda; Insecta; Hymenoptera; Halictidae
Source: RefSeq, a predicted model, not a curated record
UUCAGUAUCACAAUAAGGAGUUUGGCGUACACAAAGAGUUUUUGUUAAUACAAAUUUCAGCUGUAGUUCCUAAUUAAGAAACAGUCAGCAGCACUACACUGUCACACAAAGAUGAAGAACUCUUAUUCUCCUUACGUUUUUGAUACUACGUACCCCACUCCGUCGCCGAUAAGCCAAGUAUACGCUCUGAGCGCACUACAAAUGCACAGUCGAGCCCGUGCUGACAACAUAGGAAAAUAGAUGAGUUCAUAUAGUCUACCCUUACCGUGAAUCUCAACCCCUCGCAUUAACAGAUAUAGAAAUACAGCAGAACAUAGUGCAGUUGAUUAUUUUAUAUUAAAAUCUUAUGGAAUAAAAUGGAAGUAUCAGAAGAUAAUAAGGA